Oryctolagus cuniculus (rabbit) is the source of this 513-nucleotide long non-coding RNA. RefSeq lists it as uncharacterized. NCBI's taxonomy places the organism in Eukaryota, Metazoa, Chordata, Mammalia, Lagomorpha, Leporidae. The record is from RefSeq and is a predicted model, not a curated record.
CACCAUGGCUGACUGAGUAGCAGCACAUACAUAACGUGGUCAACACUCCAUUAAAGACUCAGAGCCUGCGACUUCAGUGAGCUCUCCGAGGCAUAGCCACUCCACAAAUGUCACUGCAGGAGAGAAAGCACACCCUCGGUGCCUCAGAUGAAGAAGGACUCAGAAGCCCUUCCUGACCUACUUGUAUUCCACCAACAUUCUCACAAGGUGAAGUCAAGAUGUGGAGUGGGUACAUUCUCAUUGGAGUUCCUGAUCCUCUUCUGGCUCACUCAAGCUUUGCUCUUUGCUAUGGCCUAAUGAAGCAGAAGAAGAUGGCCCAAGUCCUUGGGCCCCUGCACCAGUGUGGGAGACCCGGAAGAAGCUCCUGGCUCCUGGCUUCAGAUCGGCACAGCUCCAGCUGUUGCGGCCAGCUGGGGAGUGAAUCAGUGGAUAGAAGACCUGUUUCUCUCUCUGCCUCUCCUUCUCUCUCUAUGUAACUCUGACUUUCAAAUAAAUAAAGAAAACUUUUUUAAA